GUGGGGAAUAUUGGACAAUGGGGGGAACCCUGAUCCAGCCAUGCCGCGUGUGUGAAGAAGGCCUUUUGGUUGUAAAGCACUUUAAGCGAGGAGGAGGCUACCGAGAUUAAUACUCUUGGAUAGUGGACGUUACUCGCAGAAUAAGCACCGGCUAACUCUGUGCCAGCAGCCGCGGUAAUACAGAGGGUGCAAGCGUUAAUCGGAUUUACUGGGCGUAAAGCGCGCGUAGGUGGCCAAUUAAGUCAAAUGUGAAAUCCCCGAGCUUAACUUGGGAAUUGCAUUAGAUACUGGUUGGCUAGAGUAUGGGAGAGGAUGGUAGAAUUCCAGGUGUAGCGGUGAAAUGCGUAGAGAUCUGGAGGAAUACCGAUGGCGAAGGCAGCCAUCUGGCCUAAUACUGACACUGAGGUGCGAAAGCAUGGGGAGCAAACAGGAUUAGAUACCCUUGUAGUCC
Molecule: ribosomal RNA, 451 nt
Filed under: uncultured bacterium
Lineage: Bacteria
Description: bacterial SSU rRNA
Rfam family: Bacterial small subunit ribosomal RNA
Source: RNAcentral